UACGGGAGGCAGCAGGGGGAAUAUUGCACAAUGGGCGAAAGCCUGAUGCAGCUAUGCCGCGUGUAUGAAGAAGGCCUUAGGGUUGUAAAGUACUUUCAUCGGGGAGGAAAAACAAAACUAAUAAUUUUAUUUCUUGACGUUACCCGAAAAAGAAGCACCGGCUAACUCCGUGCCAGCAGCCGCGGUAAUACGGAGGGUGCUAGCGUUAAUCAGAAUUACUGGGCGUAAAGAGCACGUAGGUGGUUUUUUUAAGUUCAGAUGUGAAAUCCCUGGGCUUAACCUAGGAACUGCAUUUUGAAACUGAAAUACUAGAGUAUCGUAGAGGGAGGUAGAAUUCUAGGUGUAGCGGUGAAAUGCGUAGAUAUCUGGAGGAAUACCUGUGGCGAAAGCGGCCUCCUAAACGAAUACUGACACUGAGGUGCGAAAGCGUGGGGAGCAAACAGGGAUUAGAUACC
This 455-nucleotide ribosomal RNA is filed under the name uncultured bacterium. RNAcentral's name for it is "bacterial SSU rRNA". It matches the Rfam family "Bacterial small subunit ribosomal RNA", at positions 340 to 786 of the family's 1533-position model. The record is from RNAcentral.